This is a non-coding RNA of Notechis scutatus (mainland tiger snake), 175 nucleotides long. The record is from RefSeq and is a predicted model, not a curated record. Lineage: Eukaryota; Metazoa; Chordata; Lepidosauria; Squamata; Elapidae.
ACUAUAUCUCUAAGGUUUUUUGUGUAAGUAGGUCCAUUUCAGUGCAGUCAAGAACUUUCUGAAUAAUCAAAUUAUAUGUUGGCAUUUGGUCACCCUUCCAGCAUUGUGCCAACGCAAUUCUUGCUGCCGUAAUUAUAUGGAGAAUUAAAUAUUUUGGUUUUUUUGCGUAGUCCCC